This 615-nucleotide small RNA is filed under the name Pan troglodytes (chimpanzee). RNAcentral describes it as "retained intron". Lineage: Eukaryota; Metazoa; Chordata; Mammalia; Primates; Hominidae. The record is from RNAcentral.
GGACCUCGGCGGGGAGAUGGAGGUCCUGGCGGCAGAGACCACGUCCCAGCAAGAGCGGCUGCAGGCCAUCGCGGAGAAGCGGAAGCGGCAGGCGGAGAUCGAGAACAAGCGCCGGCAGCUGGAGGACGAGCGGAGGCAGCUGCAGCACCUGAAGUCCAAGGCACUGCGGGAGCGUUGGCUGCUGGAGGGGACGCCGUCCUCGGCCUCAGAGGGGGAUGAGGACCUGAGGAGGCAGAUGCAGGACGACGAGCAGAAGACACGGCUGCUGGAGGACUCGGUGUCCAGGUUGGAGAAGGAAAUUGAGGUGCUGGAGCGUGGAGACUCCGCCCCAGCCGCUGCCAAGGAGAACGCGGCGGCCCCGAGCCCCGUCCGGGCCCCAGCCCCGAGUCCAGCCAAGGAGGAGCGCAAGACAGAGGUGGUGAUGAAUUCACAGCAGACGCCGGUGGGCACGCCCAAAGACAAGCGAGUCUCCAACACGCCCCUGAGGACGGUUGAUGGCUCCCCCAUGAUGAAGGCAGGUGGGUUGGCCCCCAGGCUCCCCAUGAUGAAGGCAGGUGGGUUGGCCCCCAGGCUCUGGGCCCCAGAUCCAGCCGCUGUCAGGGACCAAGUCUCGGU